AGUGAACGCUGGCGGCAGGCCUAACACAUGCAAGUCGAACGGCAGCACAAGAGAGCUUGCUCUCUGGUUGGCGAGUGGCGGACGGGUGAGGAAUGCAUCGGAAUCUGCCCAUUUGUGGGGGAUAACCUCGGGAAACCGGGACUAAUACCGCAUACGACCUACGGGUGAAAGCAGGGGCUCUUCGGACCUUGCGCAGAUGGAUGAGCCGAUGCCGGAUUAGCUAGUUGGAGGGGUAAAGGCCCACCAAGGCGACGAUCCGUAGCUGGUCUGAGAGGAUGAUCGGCCACACUGGGACUGAGACACGGCCCAGACUCCUACGGGAGGCAGCAGUGGGGAAUAUUGGACAAUGGGCGCAAGCCUGAUCCAGCCAUGCCGCGUGUGUGAAGAAGGCCUUCGGGUUGUAAAGCACUGUUGUUGGGAAAGAAAAGCAGCCGGUUAAUACCCGGGUGUCAUGACGGUACCCAAAGAAUAAGCACCGGCUAACUUCGUG
RNAcentral lists this ribosomal RNA (490 nucleotides) under uncultured bacterium. RNAcentral's name for it is "partial 16S ribosomal RNA". It matches the Rfam family "Bacterial small subunit ribosomal RNA", at positions 29 to 507 of the family's 1533-position model. The record is from RNAcentral.